UGUGAUUGACCUUGAACCGUCGGGCCGCGCUCGCUGUACUGCGUAGGCGCCAAUGCGCUGACGUUCUUUAGUCACGUGGCUCCCCUUGCGGCUUGCCUGAUGGGGAAUCCGCCGCCAUUUUGGGCGUCGAGCGACUCCCGACUCUUUCUUGUCCCGCCCCUCCCCUCCCCUCCCUCCCGGAGGAAUUACCUCCAGCCCGCGGGCCUUCCACACGUUGCGCAUGCGCAGUCGGGGAGGGAAAGGUGGGGUGGGUAAACCCUUGCCUGCUCGGUGGGGCACCGGCCUUGGGGAGAGCCGGGAUCAGCCCUGGUGGUCUUGACUGUCUUUCUUUCUGGCAACGCAGAUUGUGACGCUUGUGCAGUGCGAGUCUGCCCAGUGCUGCCCUGCACUGGGAUUUGCCUUCAGGGCUGCCCUGGCCUGUGAAGGAUUCUCUCUCUGUCUGUGACCAUCAGAGCAGCAGGCUCCUGUGCCUGAAACAAGCCUACCGUCCCUAGGGAUGUGCUUCUGCAUGGCGAGAUGUUUCUGAUAGUACAAAGUGGUGAAAAGAUCUUGAAAAUCCAUCUUCUGCUGCUCCUACUGUGAAGAGGGAGAGGCGCACUUGUCCUCAGAGAGCCACGGGACUUGGAACCGAGUGGUGGCUUUUGUGACAUUUUCUACUGACUAUUUUAAAAUAUUUAGCUCAUAGCAAUUGAAACAUGUCAAGUGCCUGUACCUGCAGCAUUUCAGUCAUUAAUGUAUCACGUAGAUGACUGGAGAGUCCAUGUUUUUUUCAUGUAGACUGUGUGAGUUGCACAUUCUGAUAUCUGUUUCAUGACUUGAAAAUGUUAUGUAUAUAGAUGCAGGGCUAAAUCAUGAUUUUUUUGCUACAGAAGGGCAGAUCCUAAGAAGCAUCACUGAAGUCAGCAGAGUCAGUUCAGGUUACACUGCUGUGAAUAAGAGCAGAAUCUGAACAAUAGGGUGCAAAUGUCUACUUAAGCUCCCUCAGCACAUUUUUUAAAAAGCAUGUAGCUCAGCAUUGUGGAGUAGUUUGACUAAAAGUGCAAAUGAUUCUGGAAUAGAGAAAUGAUGAGACCAAAUUACUGUAGGGAGAUUUUGAUGCUGUAUAGCUUUUUAUCUUGCUGGCUGGUUUUUAGAAUUAAAUUUAGAAAAAAAAAUCUUUCUUCUCCGCGUUUUGCACAAAGUCAGUUUUCAUUUAAGUGAAUUCAUCUUCAGUGAACUUGGCCCCUAAAAAGUGUAAUGUGCUUUGCGAGCACAGGUGUUGGGUUCUCUUUUUUACCAACUUUUUAUUGGAAUCUAACUAUUGCUCAUGUGAUCUUUACGAGAAGCCAUGUAAAAAGAGAGUGUAAAUUUUUAAGACUCAUCACUUCUUCAGUACACCAAGAGGCCCCUGUGCCAAGGAGAGAGACAGAAGACAACAGGGAGAAUAGAGAGACUGGGGAGUGCAAGUUAAGGACAGCUGCAAGAUUUGAACUGUGCAUUGUGGAGAAGGAACCAGAAUUUCCUGGGAAGACACGUUCAGUUCCAGAGAGGGAACAAAGCAAUGCUGCUGUCCACUGAAGAAAGUGUCUGUGCAAGGAGCUGUAGAAGCAAAGAGAAGAAAAAAAAUAAGCAAGUAACAGACAUCAGCCAUUUUCAACCAUGCCCUGGUUCCAAACACAGCCAGUCAAGAGCAAACUUACGAGCAGAGUAAACAGAAAAGAAGGCUUAGCAUCUCUAACAAGCUGCUCCAUCAGGACCACAAAAGAAGCAGAAGGAAAUAGUGGCUUGGACUACCCUGCAUGUCUCAAAGCAAAAGAGGUAGGAUGAAGCCAGAGUUGCAUGAUAAUGGAUGUGCCCAGAUAGGAUGGCUUCUGAAUGCUAUAUGAGAUCAACUUUAAAAUGAAGAAAAUGUUUCAGACACCAGUGACCAGAACCCUCUUGAUUUGGGAAGGGGUCACCAAAUCAGAUAUGCAGGAUCAGAAAACUGAAAAGGGGAAAGAAAACACAGAACACAUGGAGCAUUUGCCAUCUCUUUAGCACAGCUGCAAAUUCAGGCACCUCUGCAGUUGUCUGUAGAUCAAACAGCUUGUUGAUGGCACCCAUUAACACCUUCCCACAUAACAAUACACCACCAAUAUGGAAACACUGAUUAUUCAACAUCAGCUGCUGUGGACAGGGCACUGUGUGAAUGCCUGAUGUAGUCUCCAGAACAACUUCCAACUCAGCCAAAGACAAAGGACACGCAGGGGCCAGAGGAAAUGCUUCAAGGACACCCUCAAGGUGAACUUUAAGAAGUGUUGCACUGACACCAGAAAUUGGGAAAAACUAGCCUGGGACAGGGCUACAUGGUGACAAGUUGUGAGGGAAGGUACAUCUAACUUUGAGGAAAACUGUCUCACCCUGGAGGCAAGAAAACAACAGAAAUGUAAGGAAAGGAAACAUGACUGAGAAAUCUGUGGUCUGACCCUCCCUUUAGCCACCACCUGAAAUGUUUUGCCAGAGAGUCUGUGGCUCUAGGAUUGGCUUUCUUAGCUAUCAGCAGACUCAUUUACAGCAGUUUACCUGACCUGUAGGAGUGAUCAUCCUUGACCAUGAGGGAUCAAUGCUGCUGCCGUGAUCGUGAGGGGCCACUGCUGCCACUGCUGAUCCCUGUCUCAUCUCAGUCUUUUCUCCUGAUAAGUGUGUGGACUCCCUUCAUUACUUAUCUCUAAGACAAAUAAUAAUGGAGAAAAAUGAAGAGUGGCAUGCAGCCUCUAGCAUGGUAGGACCAAGGUAUAGGGGGAAGGGCAAGGCAUGACACACAGAGCUCCCAAUAGGAAGAUUGACCUGGUAAGGGAAGUGUGCAGAGACAGGAGCCCCUAGUUCAUGAAGUGAGCUUGGCCUAUGGAAACUGCGAAGUAUGGGAGUUUAUACACAUUCUCCGGGGGGGGCGGCUUUAAUUGGAGCAGCUUCGAGAGCUGCUGUAAUUAAGUGCUUGAAGCAUCUCAUGUGUCAGCAUCCCUAUGCUUAAAGAUGGUGGCAGGGGUGCUUUAACUAAAGCUCAUCAAGCAAGCUUUAGAUAAAGUGCCCCUUGCAGCCAUUUUUAAGCAUGGGGAUGCUGAUACACAAGACACUGGAAGCUGCUGAAGAACGGUAAUUGCCAUGCUCCAGCAGACUUUAAUCAAGUCUGCUCCAACACACUGUAAUCACAGCACCUCAGAGCAGCCUCGCUGUUCGUGUAUAGACACUCUGUGCGACUUGCUUGUGACAGAAAUCAAUGACCUGUAGUGGGUAGUGGGCUGUCCUAGUAAAUGGGAACUCUAGGGGCUAUGUUAGUUAACUCCAAUUAACCGUUCAUCCUGGAAAAGCUGCUGGGGGGGGGGGGGGGA
Molecule: long non-coding RNA, 3347 nt
Organism: Alligator mississippiensis (American alligator)
Lineage: Eukaryota; Metazoa; Chordata; Crocodylia; Alligatoridae
Exons: 4
Source: RefSeq, a predicted model, not a curated record